CCCAUCCCCAAAGGCACUGCAAAUACCUUAUCCCCAGUAUUUCCAGUAUUGGUAUCCUCCAAAGUUUAAUAGGAUAUGGCCGAAUAUUUCUUCCCUUGAGGUUUCUAACCCAAAACAAGGAAUGUCUGCGACAACGAGCUCCUGCACUGCCAGAACGGAGGGACGUGCCACAACAACGUGCGCUGCCUGUGCCCGGCCGCAUACACGGGCAUCCUCUGCGAGAAGCUGCGGUGCGAGGAGGCUGGCAGCUGCGGCUCCGAC
RNAcentral lists this long non-coding RNA (261 nucleotides) under Homo sapiens (human). RNAcentral's name for it is "HSALNT0012028". The record is from RNAcentral. Lineage: Eukaryota; Metazoa; Chordata; Mammalia; Primates; Hominidae.